This 68-nucleotide transfer RNA is filed under the name Bombus pascuorum. RNAcentral describes it as "tRNA-Trp". Lineage: Eukaryota; Metazoa; Arthropoda; Insecta; Hymenoptera; Apidae. The record is from RNAcentral.
AAGAUUUUAAGUUAAAUAAACUAUUAAUCUUCAAAAUUAAAAAUAUUAAUAUUUUUUAAUAAAUCUUA